This 539-nucleotide ribosomal RNA is filed under the name uncultured Bifidobacterium sp. RNAcentral describes it as "bacterial SSU rRNA". It matches the Rfam family "Bacterial small subunit ribosomal RNA", at positions 147 to 699 of the family's 1533-position model. The record is from RNAcentral. Lineage: Bacteria; Bacillati; Actinomycetota; Actinomycetes; Bifidobacteriales; Bifidobacteriaceae.
CUCCUGGAAACGGGUGGUAAUGCCGGAUGCUCCGGUUGGAUGCAUGUCCUUCCGGGAAAGAUCCGUCGGUAUGGGAUGGGGUCGCGUCCUAUCAGCUUGAUGGCGGGGUAACGGCCCACCAUGGCUUCGACGGGUAGCCGGCCUGAGAGGGCGACCGGCCACAUUGGGACUGAGAUACGGCCCAGACUCCUACGGGAGGCAGCAGUGGGGAAUAUUGCACAAUGGGCGCAAGCCUGAUGCAGCGACGCCGCGUGCGGGAUGACGGCCUUCGGGUUGUAAACCGCUUUUGAUCGGGAGCAAGCCUUCGGGUGAGUGUACCUUUCGAAUAAGCACCGGCUAACUACGUGCCAGCAGCCGCGGUAAUACGUAGGGUGCAAGCGUUAUCCGGAAUUAUUGGGCGUAAAGGGCUCGUAGGCGGUUCGUCGCGUCCGGUGUGAAAGUCCAUCGCUUAACGGUGGAUCCGCGCCGGGUACGGGCGGGCUUGAGUGCGGUAGGGGAGACUGGAAUUCCCGGUGUAACGGUGGAAUGUGUAGAUAUCG